CCUCACUCCUCCAGAUGGUCCAGCUGAGGCCCUCUUGGACAACACUUCCUCUCCUGCCCAUGAUGAGGAAACUGAGGCCCCACGUGGUGAAGACAAUUUUUACCCGAAUCCACCCACAACAAGAGACCAUUUGGAUAAUGUACAUUAUGGGAAGAGAACAGAGUCUCAGUGAAGAUCAUGUUUCCCCAGCAACACAGGUGCCAGGAGUAGCUGGCUCUGGUCCCAGCCCAGACUCAGAAAUCCUGAGCCACCAGACCAUUUCUAGAUUAACAAUGACCCACUGGAAACCAGUGUCAGCAUAACAACAGUUACGAGAGCUAAACCUACAAAAUAGAAACACAAGUAAAACUUGUUCAAGUGGUUUGCAGUCAUUGAACAUAGAUCAGCUCCUAUGAAAACAAACUCCAUGGAACACAGGAGCUAUGUGGAGAGUUGAUGGAGGGACAUUCCAGGCAGAGAGAACAGCAAACACAAAGGCCUUGAAGGGAGCGGUGGCUUACAUCUGCAAUCCCACCACUUUGGGAGGCUGAGGCAGGUGGAUUGCUUGAUCUCAGGAGUUCGAGACCAGCCUGGGCAAUGUGGUGAAACCCAGUCUCUACCAAAAAAUACAAAAAUUAGCCGGGCAUGGUGAGCAUGCCUCUGGUCCCAGCUACCCAGGAGGCUGAGGUGGGAGAAUCACUUGAGCCUAGAAGGUCAAGGCUGCAGUGAGCCGUGAUUGAGCCACUGCAUUCCAGCCUGGGUGAUAGGGCCACAAGUUGAAAAGGCAAAGGCAGGAUUGAACCGCAUUGCUCACCACAGAAUUUGGGUGAUGCCUGCUCGUUGAGUUGGAUCGCCUGGUUCCUGACUCAUUACCUGAAUUGGACCCCAUCUGCCUUCCAGCACUGGGCCCUCCUCACCUCCCAGGCAUCUCCUGGCCCCAUCGUUCUCAUCCACACUGCCAGUUGCUGCUUUCAUCUGCAUCCUCUUUCCUCAGCCUUCUGCUACCCACCCCUCGCCUCCCACCCCC
This 1006-nucleotide long non-coding RNA is filed under the name Homo sapiens (human). RNAcentral's name for it is "HSALNT0347444". Lineage: Eukaryota; Metazoa; Chordata; Mammalia; Primates; Hominidae. The record is from RNAcentral.